This 626-nucleotide ribosomal RNA is filed under the name uncultured Verrucomicrobiota bacterium. RNAcentral's name for it is "bacterial SSU rRNA". It matches the Rfam family "Bacterial small subunit ribosomal RNA", at positions 77 to 680 of the family's 1533-position model. The record is from RNAcentral. Lineage: Bacteria; Pseudomonadati; Verrucomicrobiota.
UAGCAAUAUUCUGUAGUUGGAGCGGCGCAAGGGUGCGUAACACGUGGGUAAUCUGCCAUGAAGCUUGGGAUAACUCGCUGAAAGGCGAGCUAAUACCGGAUGUGACGAUUGGAAGGCAUCUUCUGAUCUUCAAAGUUGGGGACCGUAAGGCCUGACGCUUCAUGAUGAGCCCGCGGCCUAUCAGCUAGUUGGUGAGGUAACGGCUCACCAAGGCUAAGACGGGUAGCUGGUCUGAGAGGACGACCAGCCACACUGGAACUGAGACGCGGUCCAGACACCUACGGGUGGCAGCAGUCGAGAAUUUUUCACAAUGGGGGAAACCCUGAUGGAGCGACGCCGCGUGGGGGAUGAAUGGCUUCGGCCCGUAAACCCCUGUCAUUCGCGAACAAUGCCUGUGUAUUAACACCAUACAGGUUGAUAGUAGCGGAAGAGGAAGGGACGGCUAACUCUGUGCCAGCAGCCGCGGUAAUACAGAGGUCCCAAGCGUUGUUCGGAUUCACUGGGCGUAAAGGGUGCGUAGGCGGUCGGGUAAGUCUGAUGUGAAAUCUCACAGCUUAACUGUGAAACUGCAUUGGAUACUAUUCGGCUUGAGGUCUGGAGGGGGGACUGGAAUUCUCGGUGUAGCA